UAUAUUUUAGUAUAAGAUGUAUUAAAGUUUUUGAUACUUUAGGUAAUAGUUUAAUUCUAUUAAAUAUAA
RNAcentral lists this transfer RNA (69 nucleotides) under Thesaurus albertalleni. RNAcentral describes it as "tRNA-Gln". Lineage: Eukaryota; Metazoa; Arthropoda; Insecta; Coleoptera; Cucujidae. RNAcentral also lists the same sequence under 1 other name. The record is from RNAcentral.